This is a long non-coding RNA of Sinocyclocheilus rhinocerous, 222 nucleotides long. RefSeq lists it as uncharacterized. NCBI's taxonomy places the organism in Eukaryota, Metazoa, Chordata, Actinopteri, Cypriniformes, Cyprinidae. The transcript has 3 exons. The record is from RefSeq and is a predicted model, not a curated record.
AUUGCUGUCUGCAUUAUCAAGUUUUCCUUAAGUGCACUUUUCGGACUUUAAAGACAGUCCAUAAGAAGAAGUGGACACAGUGAACGUUCGGAGAGAAACUUCUGGAGAGGUUGAAGAGGAACGUGUUUUACCUGGAAGCAGUGUCGUAUAAAAUCCUCUUGAGAGCUGUUGGUAUCCCAAGCUAUGGAAUGCAGAGAACCAGGAGUGCUACGUCCCUCACCU